RNAcentral lists this ribosomal RNA (372 nucleotides) under uncultured bacterium. Its description in RNAcentral is "bacterial SSU rRNA". It matches the Rfam family "Bacterial small subunit ribosomal RNA", at positions 523 to 898 of the family's 1533-position model. The record is from RNAcentral.
AUACGUAGGGGGCGAGCGUUGUCCGGAUUUAUUGGGCGUAAAGGGUGCGUAGGCGGCCUUGUAAGUCAGAUGUGAAAUCUCACGGCUUAACCGUGGUAAGCAUUUGAAACUGUGAGGCUUGAGUACGGGAGAGGAGAGUGGAAUUCCUAGUGUAGCGGUGAAAUGCGUAGAUAUUAGGAGGAAUACCAGUGGCGAAGGCGACUCUCUGGACUGUAACUGACGCUGAGGCACGAAAGCGUGGGGAGCAAACAGGAUUAGAUACCCUGGUAGUCCACGCCGUAAACGAUGAGUGCUAGGUGUCGGGGGUCAAACCUCGGUGCCGCAGUUAACACAUUAAGCACUCCGCCUGGGGAGUACGGUGGCAACACUGAA